Sardina pilchardus (European sardine) is the source of this 333-nucleotide long non-coding RNA. RefSeq lists it as uncharacterized. The transcript is spliced from 4 exons. The record is from RefSeq and is a predicted model, not a curated record. NCBI's taxonomy places the organism in Eukaryota, Metazoa, Chordata, Actinopteri, Clupeiformes, Clupeidae.
GUUUAUUUACAGACAUAGUGAAGAACGGAGGAAGCGAAACACCUCUAUACGCCUUCAUCCUUGUAGCUGUGCUGCUGUUGUUACUGCAGCUAGGAGGAGUCAUAUUCCUAUGUAUGAGACACAAAGGCCAAAAAGGAGGAAGUACACAGUCAGGAGGAAUGCAGGAGCGAAAUAAUGAUUCCUCAUUGACGUAUGAAGCUCUUCAGCAUCGCUACAAUGCAGAGCAAAUGUACUAAACCAUUGGGCAGAACGCUGGGGUCCAGAAUGAAGCCUCAUCAAUGUAUGAAGCUCUUCAGCAUCGCUACAAUGCAGAGCAAAUGUACUCAACCAUUG